GAUGAACGCUGGCUACAGGCUUAACACAUGCAAGUCGAGGGGAAACGGCAUUGAGUGCUUGCACUGAAUGGACGUCGACCGGCGCACGGGUGAGUAACGCGUAUCCAACCUUCCCGUUACUGCGGGAUAACCUGCCGAAAGGCAGACUAAUACCGCAUGUUCUUCGAUGACGGCAUCAGAUUCGAAGCAAAGAUCCGUCGGUAACGGAGGGGGAUGCGUCUGAUUAGCUAGUUGGCGGGGCGACGGCCCACCAAGGCGACGAUCAGUAGGGGUUCUGAGAGGAAGGUCCCCCACAUUGGAACUGAGACACGGUCCAAACUCCUACGGGAGGCAGCAGUGAGGAAUAUUGGUCAAUGGGCGGAAGCCUGAACCAGCCAAGUAGCGUGCAGGAGGACGGCCCUACGGGUUGUAAACUGCUUUUAUGCGGGGAUAAAGUGAGGGACGC
RNAcentral lists this ribosomal RNA (445 nucleotides) under Prevotella denticola. RNAcentral describes it as "bacterial SSU rRNA". It matches the Rfam family "Bacterial small subunit ribosomal RNA", at positions 28 to 461 of the family's 1533-position model. The record is from RNAcentral. Lineage: Bacteria; Pseudomonadati; Bacteroidota; Bacteroidia; Bacteroidales; Prevotellaceae.